AUAAGCUGUCUGCAUUCUCAUAUCAUCCUGGUUGAAAUUAGAGGGGUAGGGGCCAUGAAGAGAAGGAUGGUAGCUAGUACCCAGUUGGCCAUGUAAUCUGAUCUUCUCUAAUUGAGCAACUCCAAGGCCUCUCUGGGGUUGCUUAGGCUUGUCUGAGUUACUCUUCUUGCCUUUCCUUGAAGAUCCACCUCUUUCAUUUCCCAAGUUUGGCUCUCCAAAAUAA
Molecule: unclassified non-coding RNA, 223 nt
Filed under: Hevea brasiliensis (rubber tree)
Lineage: Eukaryota; Viridiplantae; Streptophyta; Magnoliopsida; Malpighiales; Euphorbiaceae
Source: RNAcentral